This 35045-nucleotide long non-coding RNA is filed under the name Arabidopsis lyrata. RNAcentral describes it as "long non-coding RNA (ALYR_LNC001536)". Lineage: Eukaryota; Viridiplantae; Streptophyta; Magnoliopsida; Brassicales; Brassicaceae. The record is from RNAcentral.
AAACAGUCGUGUUAUCGACUUAUGUGGAUUUAGUAUGUUUUAUCGGAUUUUUGCGCUGGUAUUUUAUAAAGAACUGGAUGUUUAUGGAAAAAGAGUUAUUUGUUGUUAAAGUGAUUUAUGGUAACAUGCCGUUCCCGAGAGAGGGUGAGACGGAUGUUACACGUGGCACGCCGUUCCCGAGAGAGGGUGAGACGGGUGUUACAGUUUUGGUAUCAGAGCGAGGUUUAGCUGACCCGGUUUUGACCCGGGGGCUGUUUAGAGUUAGAACGCUCGAGUAUUCGGAAUUUGUUUUUAAAACAAAAGUUGUUUCGGGAAUGGGAGAAUUUCUAAAAAAAAAAAAAAAAAAUGAUGACACACCUUUCUGUUGAGUAUUAAGUGUAUUGUUAGUAGCGUCCGCAUCUCCGCUAAAGCUAAUCGAGUUUCCUCCAUUUCAGAUGGGGACAAUAGUUUUCUUUGGAUUAUUAAGUUGACUUGGAGAAGUUAACUUUAUUUACCAAUUAGCCAACAUUAAAAAGAGAACUAGUGAGGACCAUAGUUUUCUUGGACUGGCAAGUUAGUGUCAGAAGUUUGUAUAAGAGUUUGCUAUGGAUAAACCAAUGUUUUGACUCAUAAGAAUGGACGUGAAGUUCGAGUGGAUGGAGGAGUGGGAGAGUAACUUCCAAAUGGUUAACUGACAUUUGACGGAAACAAGUGUUACUACGACCAAAGAUGAGAUUCCGAGAUGGUUCUACAAAGUUCAAAGACGUGAUUUUCUAUCGAGCAAGUCAGUCUAUUUUAGUCUUAUGUAUAGAGAGCACUUAAGGGAAGUGCUAAAAAGGGGUGGAGAGUAGUGUGGGCGGACCCCACACGACAACCCAAUAAUGUAUUUCGACAAAGAACAUGUUGUGAUGUUUACAACAAAGUGUAAAGAUAAGUUGUGGUAGCAAACACACAAGCCAAGUUAUGCUUAUGUAUGGAGAACACUUAAGAAAAUUAUUACAAAGGAAGUGGCAAAGAGCAGUGUGGGAGGACACAUUACGGUAAUCUACACUAUGAAUGUUUUUUUUUAAGAAUGUGGAUGUGAUAGAGUGUCAUAACAAGAGGAAGUUAUGCCAAUGGGGUUGUGCUGUAUUAUUUCCAUUGACUUCAGCGAAGUUAUUUUUACCCGAAAGGAAAAGGGUAUGGUGAAUAAAAUUUGCUAUUGAACUGCCAAAGACGAUUUACAAUAAGGACACAACUUGGAUAGUUGUAGAGCGGGCUAGGUCAAGAUGAAAGGUGUCUGGGAGGAAAAUUUUUAUAUUGUGGGUUUGGAGAAAGCCUUAAAAAUGUUGGAAUAUAAUCUUCAAUCUGACUAUAUGGCAAAGGAAUCCACUAAGGAUAUAGUGAAACGGAAAUCACUAAGGACUUUGAGAAGACAUUAUUUUGGAUUUGGAGUUUGCAUAAUGCAGGAAAGAUAUUCUGUGGCAAAUGAGCAAUUACGUGGAAAAAGUAAUACUUCGAAAGAAUAAGGAUUUCAAAAAGAGUGUUAGGAAAACACUACGUGAGUUUUACAAGUUUGUAGCUGGGAGUUAGAAUUGCAGAGUGAGUGCAUCAGAAUCGUUGUGGACCUUAAUCAACGUGUCACAUUAAACCAUAACGGGCAUGGUUAGAAUCGUAUUUCGGAGCAUUGUUAAAUAAAGACGUAUGUUUGUGCAUCAGUCAUUUUUACAAAGACAAGGUAAUGGAAAAACCGUUGUUGAAAAUUUACUUGGAAAUUUGGAAGAUGAGUUUUCUGUUUAACUCAAGAAGGUUAAGCAACUAUGACAUUAGAUGUUCCAUGUGGUCAUAUUGCUUGACAAUGGAAUCAACCAUAUUCUAGGGGAAGAGUAGGUUAUUAAUUAAAUCAAGAGCUAAAUAUGAGAUUGCAAAGAGGGACUCCACACUGCGGAGAAUAGUAUGUUCAUGUAUAAGAACCGAAUUAGGGUGCCAGAUGCCAAAGGUCUGAAGGAUGAGAUCUUGGCACAAGCUCACAGUUCACGGUUUUCGGUUCACCCUGGAACGACUAAGAUGUAUCAUGACCUAAAGCGGUAUUAUAAUUGGACCAAUAUGGAACGUGAUGUGGCUGCUUGGGUAUCAAAGUGUCAGAUUUGUCAGCAAGUAAAAACAGAGUAUAAAGUUCCAAGUGGUUUACUCCAGAAUUUACCCUUAUCCUGGAACGACUAUGAUAACAAUGGAUUUUGUCACCGGACUUCCAACAACCACCAGGUGGUAAGAAUGUCAUUUGGGUGAUCGUGGACCGACUCACCAAGACAGCUCAUUUCUUGGCCAUCAAGAAAUUAGACAAUGCAGAUGUCUUAGCGCAGCUGUACCUAGACAAGAUUGUUUCUAAGCAUGGGGUGCCAAUAAGCUUAGUGUCGGAUCGGGAUCCAAAAAUUUACAUAUACUUUCUAGCAAGCUUUACAGAAGGCCUUGGGAACAAAGGUACGCCUUAGUACAACUUAUCAUCCCCAGACUGAGGGGCAGUCUGAGAGGACAAUUCAAACGCUAGAGGACAUGUUGAGAACAUGCGUACUCGACUGGGAGGAGAACUGGCUCGAGUACCUACCCUUGGUAGAAUUUGUGUACAAUAACACUUAUCACUCCAGCAUGGGAAUGGCACCAUCUGAGGCUCUUUAUGGUAGGCCGUGUCGUACCCCACUUUGUUGGACCGAAGUGGAGGAGUUCUGUGACUUAGAAUCUAUAAUGGUUCAAGAAGCGGUAAAACAAGUUGAGAUGCUCAAGAGUCGACUGAAGGAAGCACAUGACCGUCAGAAGAGCUAUGCAGACAAGCGCAGGAACGAUUUAGAGUUCGAGGUGGGUGACUUAGUAUACCUUAAAAUGAGGACAUUUCAGGAAGCGCUAAGACUCGAAAACUAAAGAAGCUUAAGCCGAGGUCCCAUGUACCGUAUCCUAUUGUUGAGCGGAUUGGAGCAGUAGCCUACCGUUUGGGUUUAUCGACAGAGUUGUCAGACUUCCAUGAUGUGUUCCACGUGUCAGUUUUGAGAAAGGUUGUCAGAGAGCCAAAGCUUAUUUUGCAGCAUCCGCCUAGGGUUCUCCGUAAGAAUCUGACAGUACCGAGUCGACCAGUUGAGAUUUUGGAGCGGCAAGAACAAGUCGUACAGGGAAAGAUGGUGGUAAAGAUCAGGGUUCGUUGGGAGAGUGACGGGAUCCAGGAGGAAACUUGGGAGUCCGAAGAUGAGAUGAGGUCAGACUACCCAGAGCUGUUUUGGAUGAGAAUGAGCAUGCGAAUGAGGAUUUGAAUUCGAGGACGAAUUCCUUAUUAGUGGGGAAGAAUUGUAACAACCCAUUUAAGGCCCAAGGCCCAUCCGCUGAAGCCCAUGAGGCCCAAUUCUUUGACCUAGGUAUCCUCCUCUAUUCCUCUAUAAAUACCCUCCUCUAUCUCUCAUUUUUCCCACAACUCUCCUGAGUAGUAUUACUCUGCAGAAAUCUCGCCAGAGUUAGCACCACCGAACCGCCGUCCACCCUCUCCCGUAACCGAGCCGACCAAGCCAACGGAAAGCUUAGUCGAAGGUAACUCCUAAAACCGAGUUUUAAAGGUUUUAGUUUCGGGCCGUUUAGUAUUUUCAAGAUUUCUCCCUAACCGCUUCGAAUCUCGCAAAACCAAGGGUACCAUCGGAUUCGUGACGACGAGAAGAAGCCGGAGACACCAAGCGCUGCCACCGCCGACGAGCCACGCGCCGCCACGCGCCGGAAGAAGGAAGCGCGUGACGCCCACGCGCAGCCACGCGCCGCCGAGUCCUCGGAGCGUGGAGCUCACGCGCCGCCGCCGGUGACCGGAACCGCCGCUGUUCUCCGGAGCCGCCGUGACCGGCAGCCGUCCGUUCGCCGCCGGGAUUCCGCCGCCGCGUCGUCGCCGGACCGCCGUCGCCGGACCGCCGUCGCCGCCGGUGACUUUUCCGGUAAGGUUCGCCGGAUUUGUUGCCGCCGACCGGUUUGGGUUAACCGGUCGGUUUAAAUUGAUUUAAUCCGGUUGAAAUCGAUUUGGUCUUGGUUUAGGUUAACCGGUUGGUUUAAAUCAAUUGAUUCUCGGUUUAGGAUAACCGUUCAGUUUAAAUCAAUUGAUUCUCGGUUAAAGUUAACCGGUCGGUUUAAAUCAAUUGAUUUCUGGUUUAAGUUAACCGGAUCGAUUUGACUGGUUGGACCGUUGACCGUUGACUGUUGACCGUUGACUUUGACCGUUGACCGUUGACUUUGACCAGUUGACCCGAAAACCGUUUUUCUUCGUUCGGACGCCGUUUGACUCGAUUUUUCGUUCCGGUUUCAGAUCCGGAGUCGGUUUAUUCAUUCGAGGUCCAGAAGUCGUAGGUUCAGCAUUGCUAAGGUGAGGGCUAUUUCCAAACCGCUGUGCUUUGUUCGAGAAUCCUAAUUUACGAAUAGUGCAGCACUGAAUGUGAUGUGUUUCAAUGAUCGAGUCUAGUUAGUUUGAUUGCUUAAAUUGGACAUAGGAAGAUAGAUGAUUAAACCCAUUUGUUUGUCACAUACUGUUAAAUGUUUUUUUGUUAUAAAUAUAUAUAUAUAUAUAUAUAUAUUAUAUGAGAUAUAGCGGAUACAGAUAAAGGAACUUCUGUAUGGUGCCGCAUUGUUUGAGGUAGGGGUGAGGGCAAUGCAUAAUCGAUCUGUUGCCCUCCACCUUAAGAUCGAUAAGCGUCCCAGGGGCGGUGUGAGUGGGCACUAUCCCAUGAGUUACCUCUGUGUGAGGGUGUGAUUGGGCACUAUCCCAUAAAUGAUCUCGUUGAGGGUGUGAUUGGCCACUAUCCCUCCGUAGGAAAAUUGUAUGUUGAUUGAGCACUGUAGGUGCUGUGUUUGCUCAUAUUUUGUACUCCAUUAUUUUGCGAUUAGUUUUCUUGGCUGAGUCAGUGACAUGCGGACUUAGCAUCCCAUACCUCACUGAGCGACUCCCCUGUUGCUCACCCCUCUUUCCCCAUUUCAGGUGAGCCAGACGAGUAGUUAUGACUUGAUGAGUUGGGAUGUGUCAUUUUGGGAUGGAUUAUCGUUUUCAGUAUUCUAUUCGAGACUUUUAUUAAACAGUCGUGUUAUCGACUUAUGUGGAUUUAGUAUGUUUUAUCGGAUUUUUGCGCUGGUAUUUUAUAAAGAACUGGAUGUUUAUGGAAAAAGAGUUAUUUGUUGUUAAAGUGAUUUAUGGUAACAUGCCGUUCCCGAGAGAGGGUGAGACGGAUAUUACACGUGGCACGCCGUUCCCGAGAGAGGGUGAGACGGGUGUUACACUUCUUCUCAACUUCAACUUCAAACUUCCUAAUGGGAUGAAAGCAGAUGAGAUCAAUAUGGAUGUCAUGACGGGUCUUGCUAUGCAUAAGUCGCAGCAUCUCAAGCUUGUUCCCGAGAAAGUGAACAAAUAGUCAAAUAAAUCUAUCACUGUGGUUAUAUAAUAUAUGUUCUUAUAGUUCAUUUUGCUUCAAGGUUUGGUUUCUUUAUUAAAUGUUAGUCCUCUCUCUUAUCUUUGUACCUUUCUCUUAAUAUUUUCAUCAAGGAAGCAAUUUACGUUGAUGUCUUUUGUGAUUCUUAUAUGUAUCGGUGGAUGGCUACAAAAUUUGAGGUAAAUAUGAUUUAGUAGCUAAGCUUUGAAAGGGUAGACAUUUCGGUUUAUUUUUCAGGUUUGGUUCGGGUUUGGUUAAUUCAGUUUUACAAAAACUCUAACUGAACUCAAACCAAAACUCUAGUUUUGUUUGGUUGGUCUUAAUUCGGUUUAAUUAUUCAUAUCUAAGCAAGAAAGAGAUGUCAAUUUAAUUAUUUAAACAAACACCUAUAAAAAAACUAGGUAAAAGAAACUAAGUACUCCAAUCAUUAAAACCAAACUUAGAAAAGAAAAAAAAAAAAUGAAGAGAAAAAAUCUAACCAAAUCUUCAAUUGUGAGAUGAAAGUUAAAAGCAUACAAACAAAUCAUAUAAUAUAAUAGGACAGUUCUUUUUCAAAAUAGAGUGAAACACCCCAACCCAUUUUUUUUUAUUUAAAUAAACUCAUGUCUAGUGAUCCCAUACUCACUAAACACCUCAACACAAUCAACGGGAAAGAGCAUUAAAGUCUUAAAAAUAAAUCCAAUAAAAUAACCAAUAGUUCAACAAUAACAAAUCUCAACUCAAAAAUUUAUGAAAAGCAACCUAGGUGAAAGUUCUAUCUCUCUGAACUAACAACCUAGCAAAACAGACACAACAACGAUGAUCACAACACACGAACAUCUAGAUCAUCCCCUCUUCCUCGCCACGAUUCCACGUCACACUUUGCCUUUACCUGCAUCACAACACGAAUGAGAUGCGUAAGUAUUAUCAUAAAUACUUAGUGAGGCAAUCCUCCCAAGCAACAGGCUAUACACACAAGCAAUAGAAACAAUACACAAAAACAGCAAACUCAAACAAACCAGACAACCAGACUUUCUGACGAACAUGUGUCGAUCGACACACGACCUCCGUGUCGAUCGACACUCAGCCCGAUUGGUGUCGAUCGACAGACACUCCCUGAUCGACACCUUGCCCGAUCUGUGUCGAACGACACCUUCCAUUGGUGUCGAACGACACCUUCCAUUGGUGUCGAACGACACCAAUCGCGCAGGCACUUUUCCAGCGAUUUCCACAUCGCGAAUUCUCCUUCUCCAGUGCCCUAAUUAGACCAGCGACUCACACACAGGCCACACAAGGACCCAGCAAGGCAAUCACGACCAAGCAAACACACAAAACAGUAUAACUCAUCAAAUCAACACAUAAACGGUUCACACAAAGGAUCUAAUGCUCAGAUAAGCCCUCAGUCAUGCACUCACCUCUUCUCUGGAAGAAAACUGAACAAAACUGCACGAACACAGGAAGGAGAACGACCCCUACAAGCUUCUCAACGCACCACCGGACUUAGAUCUCCUUCACCACUAGGAAAUCUCUCAGAAACAGGCUCAGGAACUCACAGAAAGGCUCUCAGGAACUUUUCUCUCUAAAACUCUCUUGGAAAACGAUAAAAUGGCUGAUGAAAGCCCUAGGUCGCAUUCCCUGAACCUUAUAAACGAGCCCAUUAGGGUUUUCCUUCCCUAAACCGAACGAAAUCGAAACCGAACGAAAUCGCACAAUCGAAAGCCCAAAAGCCCAAUUGUCGAAAACGUUAGUGUCGAUCGACACACCCUAAUGGUGUCGAUCGACACGCUGAACCGAAACCUGGUUCGCGGGCGUUACAAUUCUCCCCUAGCUUAACACCUCCAAUCCGCAAACUCUGAACAACCGAAACGUCGGUCCGCACUUUCUCCAAUCCGACCCCUCCGGGUCCCAGCUUAGCCGAUAUACUCCCGACUUCCGCUAGUCAUUGUUGCUCACGACUCCAAUACUGCUCUCAGACCGCAGUCUUUGAGCAUAAACCGCUACUCUCAGGCCUCGGCCUACGGUAUCUCAGGUAUCGAAUGUAUUAUCCUCCCCGCUCACAGGUCAAAACCCAGAGUUGUGUCCGCUCACUAUCAGCCACAAAGUCAUCAAGUUCCGACACUUGGAGAAGAUAAUACUACAAACUCGCUGUCGGGUCGUCACCCUAAAGAGCGUGCUCUCGGAUCGUCACCCGAAGCCACCGUACCCAACGCACUCUAAAGACACCAAGUCCCUCAAAUACCGGUACCUCUGGAGCAUACUCCGCUCCUCUCAAGUCAUCAGGACACUCAAGUCCCGGAGCAACAAUACUAACCGCUUUCGAGUACUCCCUCGAACUUUCCAAAAAUAGAAAUUCCACUUGAGGAAACUUUCCCUUUUUAGAAACCGCUCAAUACAUUCUUAAAUAAGACAACUCAAGUCAAAUCCAAGAAAUACUCAUCUUAUUAAUCUCAAAAUGUCAUAAUCGUUACAACUCCAAACGAAAAUACAUAAUGAAAGAAAAAUAAGAACAACAACUCAAAACUCAAAAACUCCAAAAACUCUGAAAACUCUGAAACUGGAAACCAAGGAUAGGCACUCAAGCAGCCGCCUGCUUCUCGAACCACUUCCCGAACUUUGCCUUCAUCCUCGCCUCUGGCUCCCAAGUCUCCUCCGACACACCGUCGCAGUCCCACUGGACUUUGAUCAAAGGAAUCUUCUUCCGCCGAAGUUCCUUGAUCCUCCUCUCAAGAAUCCUCACUAGUCUCGCCUCCAAAGUCAUGUUGGGCUGAAGAUCCUCAGAAAUCCUAGCCAACACCUGAUCAUCCUUGUGAAGACACUUCCUCAGCAUCGACACAUGGAACACCUUGUGGAACGCGCGCAUGACCUCUGGCAACUCCAGCAUGUAUGCCACUGGUCCCACCCUCUCAACAAUCUCAAACGGACCCAUGUACCUCGGACUCAACUUAUUCUCAGAGAUAGAUCUGUUCGGACCUCGCAACAUGGCCAUCUUAAGGUACACUCUAUCCCCAACCUCGAACUCAAGCUCUCUCCUCCUCUGGUCAGCAUAACUCCGCUGACGAUCCUGAGCUUCCUUCAUGUUCAGCUUCAGAACCCGAAUCCUCUCGGAAGUCUGCUGAACAAAGUCUGCACCAUAUAUGCUCCUCUCUCCCACUUGGGUCCAGUAAAAUGGUGUCCUGCAUGGCUUCCCAUACAACGCCUCAUAAGGAGCCAUCUGAAUACUCGCCUGGUAGCUAUUGUUAUAAGCAAACUCCACCAGACUCAAGUGAUCAGCCCAAUGACCACCCCAAUCCAAGACACACAUUCGCAACAUAUCCUCCAGUGUCUGGAUAGUCCUCUCAGAUUGCCCAUCUGUCUGAGGAUGAUACGCCGUACUCAAAUGCACCUUAGUGCCCAUCUCUGCCUGAAAGGCAUCCCAGAAAGCUGAAGUAAACCUGGGGUCCCUGUCCGACACAAUACUCACAGGUACUCCAUGCAACUUCACGAUCUCGCUCACAUACUUCUUAGCCAAAACCGCCACUCCAUUAGUCUUUCUGAAGGCCAGAAAAUGUGCUGACUUAGUCAGACGGUCCACGAUCACCCAAAUAACAUCCUUGGUCCGUGACACAGGCAAACCAACCACAAAGUCCAUAGUGAUCAUAUCCUACUUCUACUCCGGAAUGGGCAAACUCCGCAACAGACCACUAGGAACCUGAUGCUCAGCCUUCACCAACUGGCAAACGUCGCACUUAGCGACCCAGUCAGCUACAUCCCUCUUCAUCCCAACCCAAUGAUAGUACCGCUUGAGGUCUCGAUACAUCUUGGUCGCUUCCGGAUGAAUGGAAAACAUGCUCGCAUGAGCCUCUCUCAAGAUCUCACGCCGCAACUCCUUAUCUUAGGCACGCAAACCCGCCCAUGCACAAGGAUAGUCCCAUUAGCUGCGAACUGAUACUUAGAGCCCUCUGCCUUAGAAGCCGCAAUCAAACCUUCGUCCUUCUCUUGAGCCAACCGCACUCUACUCAGAAGAUCUGCAUGAUCCACAGCCUCCAACCCCAACGGCUCUCGGGUAAUAGCACACAACCGCAACGCACCAAUCUCGCUCGCCAAGGCUUCCACUCUGCCCUGGAGCAGCCCACACGCUUACGGCUUAGUGCAUCAGCAACCACAUUAGCUUUACCAGGAUGGUAAGCUAUCUCCAGAUCAUAAUCAGCCACCAGCUCCAUCCACCGCCUCUGGCUCAGGUUCAGCUCUGGCUGAGUGAAGAUAUACUUCAAAUCUCAACUCAAGAAUUUAUGAAAAGCAACCUAGGUGAAAGUUCUAUCUCUCUGAACUAACAACCUAGCAAAACAGACACAACAACGAUGAUCACAACACACGAACAUCUAGAUCAUCCCCUCUUCCUCGCCACGAUUCCACGUCACACUUUGCCUUUACCUGCAUCACAACACGAAUGCGUAAGUAUUAUCAUAAAUACUUAGUGAGGCAAUCCUCCCAAGCAACAGGCUAUACACACAAGCAAUAGAAACAAUACACAAAAACAGCAAACUCAAACAAACCAGACAACCAGACUGUCUGACGAACAUGUGUCGAUCGACACACGACCUCCGUGUCGAUCGACACUCAGCCCGAUUGGUGUCGAUCGACAGACACUCCCUGAUCGACACCUUGCCCGAUCUGUGUCGGACGACACCUUCCAUUGGUGUCGAACGACACCAAUCGCGCAGGCACUUUUCCAGCGAUUUCCACAUCGCGAAUUCUCCUUCUCCAUUGCCCUAAUUAGACCAGCGACUCACACACAGGCCACACAAGGACCCAGCAAGGCAAUCACGACCAAGCAAACACACAAAACAGUAUAACUCAUCAAAUCAACACAUAAACGGUUCACACAAAGGAUCUAAUGCUCAGAUAAGCCCUCAGUCAUGCACUCACCUCUUCUCUGGAAGAAAACUGAACAAAACUGCACGAACACAGGAAGGAGAACGACCCCUACAAGGUUCUCAACGCACCACCGGACUUAAAUCUCCUUCACCACUAGGAAAUCUCUCAGAAACAGGCUCAGGAACUCACAGAAAGGCUCUCAGGAACUUUUCUCUCUAAAACUCUCUUGGAAAACGAUAAAAUGGCCGAUGAAAGCCCUAGGUCGCAUUCCCUGAACCUUAUAAACGAGCCCAUUAGGGUUUUCCUUCCCUAAACCGAACGAAAUCGCACAAUCGAAAGCCCAAAAGCCCAAUUGUCGAAAACGUUAGUGUCGAUCGACACGCUGAACCGAAACCUGGUUCGCGGGCGUUACAAUUCUCCCCCACUAACAUAGAUUCGUCCUCGAAUCUAGCUUAACACCUCCAAUCCGCAAACUCUGAACAACCGAAACGUCGGUCCGCACUUUCUCCAAUCCGACCCCUCCGGGUCCCAGCUUAGCCGAUAUACUCCCGACUUCCGCUAGUCAUUGUUGCUCACGACUCCAAUACUGCUCUCAGACCGCAGUCUUUGAGCAUAAACCGCUACUCUCAGGCCUCGGCCUACGGUAUCUCAGGUAUCGAAUGUAUUAUCCUCCCCGCUCACAGGUCAAAACCCAGAGUUGUGUCCGCUCACUAUCAGCCACAAAGUCAUCAAGUUCCGACACUUGGAGAAGAUAAUACUACAAACUCGCUGUCGGGUCGUCACCCUAAAGAGCGUGCUCUCGGAUCGUCACCCGAAGCCACCGUACCCAACGCACUCUAAAGACACCAAGUCCCUCAAAUACCGGUACCUCUGGAGCAUACUCCGCUCCUCUCAAGUCAUCAGGACACUCAAGUCCCGGAGCAACAAUACUAACCGCUUUCGAGUACUCCCUCGAACUUUCCAAAAAUAGAAAUUCCACUUGAGGAAACUUUCCCUUUUUAGAAACCGCUCAAUACAUUCUUAAAUAAGACAACUCAAGUCAAAUCCAAGAAAUACUCAUCUUAUUAAUCUCAAAAUGUCAUAAUCGUUACAACUCCAAACGAAAAUACAUAAUGAAAGAAAAAUAAGAACAACAACUCAAAACUCAAAAACUCCAAAAACUCUGAAAACUCUGAAACUGGAAACCAAGGAUAGGCACUCAAGCAGCCGCCUGCUUCUCGAACCACUUCCCAAACUUUGCCUUCAUCCUCGCCUCUGGCACCCAAGUCUCCUCCGACACACCGUCGCAGUCCCACUGGACUUUGAUCAAAGGAAUCUUCUUCCGCCGAAGUUCCUUGAUCCUCCUCUCGAGAAUCCUCACUAGUCUCGCCUCCAAAGUCAUGUUGGGCUGAAGAUCCUCAGAAAUCCUAGCCAACACCUGAUCAUCCUUGUGAAGACACUUCCUCAGCAUCGACACAUGGAACACCUUGUGGAACGCGCGCAUGACCUCUGGCAACUCCAGCAUGUAUGCCACUGGUCCCACCCUCUCAACAAUCUCAAACGGACCCAUGUACCUCGGACUCAACUUAUUCUCAGAGAUAGACCUGUUCGGACCUCGCAACAUGGCCAUCUUAAGGUACACUCUAUCCCCAACUUCGAACUCAAGCUCUCUCCUCCUCUGGUCAGCAUAACUCCGCUGACGAUCCUGAGCUUCCUUCAUGUUCAGCUUCAGAACCCGAAUCCUCUCGGAAGUCUGCUGAACAAAGUCUGCACCAUAUAUGCUCCUCUCUCCCACUUGGGUCCAGCAAAAUGGUGUCCUGCAUGGCUUCCCAUACAACGCCUCAUAAGGAGCCAUCUGAAUACUCGCCUGGUAGCUAUUGUUAUAAGCAAACUCCACCAGACUCAAGUGAUCAGCCCAAUGACCACCCCAAUCCAAGACACACAUUCGCAACAUAUCCUCCAGUGUCUGGAUAGUCCUCUCAGAUUGCCCAUCUGUCUGAGGAUGAUACGCCGUACUCAAAUGCACCUUAGUGCCCAUCUCUGCCUGAAAGGCAUCCCAGAAAGCUGAAGUAAACCUGGGGUCCCUGUCCGACACAAUACUCACAGGUACUCCAUGCAACUUCACGAUCUCGCUCACAUACUUCUUAGCCAAAACCGCCACUCCAUCGGUCUUUCUGAUGGCCAGAAAAUGUGCUGACUUAGUCAGACGGUCCACGAUCACCCAAAUAACAUCCUUGGUCCGUGACACAGGCAAACCAACCACAAAGUCCAUAGUGAUCAUAUCCUACUUCUACUCCGGAAUGGGCAAACUCCGCAACAGACCACUAGGAACCUGAUGCUCAGCCUUCACCAACUGGCAAACGUCGCACUUAGCGACCCAGUCAGCUACAUCCCUCUUCAUCCCAACCCAAUGAUAGUACCGCUUGAGGUCUCGAUACAUCUUGGUCGCUUCCGGAUGAAUGGAAAACAUGCUCGCAUGAGCCUCUCUCAAGAUCUCACGCCGCAACUCCUUAUCUUAGGCACGCAAACCCGCCCAUGCACAAGGAUAGUCCCAUUAGCUGCGAACUGAUACUUAGAGCCCUCUGCCUUAGAAGCCGCAAUCAAACCUUCGUCCUUCUCUUGAGCCAACCGCACUCUACUCAGAAGAUCUGCAUGAUCCACAGCCUCCAACCCCAACGGCUCUCGGGUAAUAGCACACAACCGCAACGCACCAAUCUCGCUCGCCAAGGCUUCCACUCUGCCCUGGAGCAGCCCACACGCUUACGGCUUAGUGCAUCAGCAACCACAUUAGCUUUACCAGGAUGGUAAGCUAUCUCCAGAUCAUAAUCAGCCACCAGCUCCAUCCACCGCCUCUGGCUCAGGUUCAGCUUUGGCUGAGUGAAGAUAUACUUCAAAUCUCAACUCAAGAAUUUAUGAAAAGCAACCUAGGUGAAAGUUCUAUCUCUCUGAACUAACAACCUAGCAAAACAGACACAACAACGAUGAUCACAACACACGAACAUCUAGAUCAUCCCCUCUUCCUCGCCACGAUUCCACGUCACACUUUGCCUUUACCUGCAUCACAACACGAAUGAGAUGCGUAAGUAUUAUCAUAAAUACUUAGUGAGGCAAUCCUCCCAAGCAACAGGCUAUACACACAAGCAAUAGAAACAAUACACAAAAACAGCAAACUCAAACAAACCAGACUGUCUGACGAACGUGUGUCGAUCGACACACGACCUCCGUGUCGAUCGACGCUCAGCCCGAUUGGUGUCGAUCGACAGACACUCCCUGUGUCGAUCGACACCUUGCCCGAUCUGUGUCGAACGACACCUUCCAUUGGUGUCGAAUGACACCAAUCGCGUAGGCACUUUUCCAGCGAUUUCCACAUCGCGAAUUCUCCUUCUCCAGUGCCCUAAUUCGACCAACGAUUCACACACAGGCCACACAAGGACCCAACAAGGCAAUCACGACCAAGCAAACACACAAAACAGUCAAUAACUCAUCAAAUCAACACAUAAACGGUUCACACAAAGGAUCUAAUGCUCAGAUAAGCCCUCAGUCAUGCACUCACCUCUUUCUGGAAGAAAACUGAACGAAACUGCACGAACACAGGAAGGAGAACGACCCCUACAAGCUUCUCAACGCACCACCGGACUUAGAUCUCCUUCACCACCAGGAAAUCUCUCAGAAACAGGCUCAGGAACUCACAGAAAGGCUCUCAGGAACUUUUCUCUCUAAAACUCUCUUGGAAAACGACAAAGUGGCUGAUGAAAGCCCUAGGUCGCAUUCCCUGAAGUUCAGGGCCUGAACCUUAUAAACGAGUCAAUUAGGGUUUUCCUUCCCUAAACCGAACGAAAUCGCACAAUCGAAAGCCCAAAAGCCCAAUUGUCGAAAACGUUAGUGUCGAUCGACACACCCUAAUGGUGUCGAUCGACACGCUGAACCGAAACCUGGUUCGCGGGCGUUACAUAGAGUGUCACGUCAAUCAAUUAGAAAAAUAUUGAAAAAGUGGCACAGAUUUGGUUAAUCGAUAUAAAGCAUGAAACAACAUCACACCUACCUCUAAAAGGGGAACUUUUACAUGUACUUAAUAUUAUUAUCAUCAACACGGCUGAACUUUAUUGUACAUUACUCUAAUACUCUUCAUCUCCUAUAGACCCUUUAGUUUUUAGAAUUAGUAUAAAUGAAAACAUUUGAAGACAAUGAUUUAUAAAAGAAAAAAACACACACACACACACAUUUAAAGACUUCCACGUAAAAAUAGACCUUCCUAUAUACAAGAUGCAUAUAUCUUAAUAAUUAUCCUUAUGAAAGACAAGUUUCACCGUGGAAGUUCAUUAGUCCAUAAUCAAGUCUUCGCCGAAAGCUUUGCCAUUCUCUUCAGAAAGUCAACCAAGAAAUAUAGCAGCAACGACAUGGGAUUAAAGCAUAUGGGGUUAGAUUUUUUUUGUUUCUUUGGCUUGAAGGACAGAGGUUCUUGAUGUCAUCUCCAUUGAUCAAGUUGCAACGUGCAAUGGAAUGUUUUUCCAAGUGGGGGACGAUGUCUUAUACGUGACAAAGUAGAUCUAGGAACUAUGAAAGAUUCCUAACAAAGAUCUAACUGCAAGCAAGGUAACAUAUGCAAAAAAGGUCAUAUAUCUAUAGGAAUAUAAUCGAGAUCUUUUUGUAUCACUAACUAGAUUCUUGACAGUUCAAAGGAUAAUAUAGCAACAAUGAUUAUAAUCCAAACUGAGAUUGGCGAAUCAACACUCCGUGUAUAUUACGCUCAUGGUGGUAAUACUUUAACCCAAAGAGUAAAAAUCAAGCUACUUGUAUGUUUACAGCUAGAGAAAGAUGCUCAUGAUUCAUGUUUCCGACAAAUUAAUAAGUGCUUUUACCUUUUUUCUUAUUCUCCUAAUCUAAAUGUCACAUUUGCGUUCUUUUUUUUCUUUAACCAAAUUUGAGUUUCCUUUCUCGGAAAUUUAUUUGGAAAUUUUGAAUUAUACAAACGCUAUAAUCUUAAUGUUUAGAACUAAAAAGUUGCAAAUUCUACACUAAAAGAGUAAGUAAAGAAUCAAUAGUCACAUGAUAUAAGGAUAUACAACGAAGAACAUGACAAAUAGGAGUGAUACAUUAUAUUUAUAGAAUAUCCCUAGUGAGGAAAAAUGAUUUCCAGCUACACGAACUAUACACCAACACAUCACCACACAUGCAGACUAUUUUAAUGUCUCGCUAACUACACGAACUAUUGGUAUUACAUACGAACAUCCCCGUACUAUCACCAUAAUCAUUUCCAGAUAAUAUAAAUGUCUUGUUAACUACACGAAGUAUUUCCAUCAAUUUUUUUAAAAAAAAAUAAUUAGAAAAUGAAAAAAUAACUAAAGUUAAUUAGAAAAUGAAAAAAUAACUAAAGUUAAUUAGAAAAAAUAGCCUCACACUUUUAGUUAGAGCCAUAUACUUAGAUUCAAUAGUUGAGAAGGCUACCAACGGUUACUAGUAUGUGAAACCUUUAUUUUCCUUAGAAAAAUGCCAAAGAUUAAUUCAAAAUCUUAGCUGUGAUUAUGUAAGCAGAUUUUGUCUAUAUAAUGCGAGACAGAAAAUUCCCAUUUGAGUGAUAAAAACAAUUUGUUGAUUGAGUGCAUUAAUUUAAAUUGCUGGCAAAAAGUUCAAUGUGAUUACACAAUAUAGUUGAACCCAAUAAGGUGAAGAAGCCUAUGACUAGUAGUAUUAGCCCAUUCCUUAGGAGGAUAUGAAAUGAUUAUAAUCAGUAAUCACCCAAAAAAAAAAAAAAAAAGUUACAUAAUAUCACUUGUCGAUUUUAGGUUUUCAGACCAAAAGUCUCAGAUGCUAUUCUUGAUGAUGACUUCUAUAUAAGCAAUAAUUUCAAAACAGAAAAUAGCUUAUUUUGGAAGCAAAAAGAUUCGAAGGGAUGUUGGAAUCAACUUUAUUCCCCAAUUAAUAUUGGUGCUGUUCGUUUGCCUGCGGCUGUGGCGAACGCAGAUAAUGAUGUUCGUUUCGUUGCCGCCGGUACCUGCGGCAGAACGCUGCGUCAAACGCGAGUCAAUUGCUUUUAAAAUUUCGAUCGCCGAUUUUAUCCAGCGUCUGAUGCUUAAAAGUUGCGGUAUAAAUGAUAAAUUACGAAAAUACCCUUAUUGUUUUGAAAGAUUUACAAAAUAACCUAAACCCUAAAAUCAAAAUUAACGCUGCUCUUGCCGCAGCCUCUUCUUCGUCGCGUCCAAAUCUCUCUCUCGACGACGAAGCUUGAUUCAAAUCUCUCUCUCGACGACGAAGCUGGUUAAAUCUCUCUCUCUCACUCUCUCUUUCUCUGUUUGGUCUGUGAGUGAAUCGAUCUGUUUUUGAUUUGAGCUCAUCGAAGAUUUGAUUAUGGGUAGUUCUAGAUCAGUGAGUGAAUCGAUCUGUGUUGUGGGCUGGUUAACUGCAAAAAUUAGAGAUGUUUUUGGUAUAAAUUCAUAUAUCUCGACCUCUCAGUUUUUUCUGUGAGCUGGUUAACUGAUACAGAACCACACGUGUGGCUCCGCACGUGAGAAGCUAAAGAAUAAUAAGGACGAAUAAGAGGGUGACGCGUGGCAAGCAGAGUGAGGCUGGCGAGAAAUGGCCGUCGCGAGCAGCCUAUUUCAUCAUGCCUUUGUCAUUUUUUUUGUCAAUUUAUCGAUCAAAUUGUAAACUCUUUGGAGAUUCUGGAUUUGAAAGUGCUAGGGUUCUCUCAUCUUGAGAGCUAGCCUCGAUUGGGUGUUUUUCAUGAACAUUGAAUCGAUUUAUCUUGGUUUUGGUGUUGAUUUGUGUUGAUUGUUUUGUGAUUCUUGUGAUUUGGAGUUUGUCUGUAACAUUAACUUCGACGAACACAAACUUUGCUUUGCAAUUUAAUUGCUGGGCCCAUAUGUAAAUGUGUGUUCGUACUGCAAUGGUGAUGGUUCAGCUGUUUCUAUGUCACUUCCUACUUCAGGUAAUCAUUUUGUAUCAUCUCUGUUAAAGGCAUUGAUCUGUUUUGUUUCUAUUUUUGCAGGCCGCUGGUGCUUUGUCCAUUAAAAUUGGUGAGUUUUGUUAGGAUUCGUGUUAUAUUUUGGCAUUAUUAUUAUGCAUAUUACUGGACAUGUUCAUAUGUACGGAUUAUGAAAUAGUUUCUCCUUUAAGAAUGUGCUUAUUUCUCCUUUAUUAUUUGUUUCUAACUUGUAGAUUUGUGUUUUCUCAGUUGGCUGAGGUCAAGAAACAAGCUUCAGUUCUUGAAUCAUAUCUUGAACAGAGGGGAGUUAAACAAUCAGUAAGUUUAUCUACUAAUCAUACAGACAUCCUAAAACUCCAAAACUGAAUGUGUGUACAUGUUAUUUGGAGAAUUAUAGAGUAUGGUUGUCGCUUGAAUAGAUUAUGAAAUAGUUGCCUCAGACUUUAAAGGUUUGCUUGUGGCUGUGUUUACUUGAAUCCGAAUUCAAAAGUUCAUCAAAGUUUAUGGGUUUGCCUUGUCUUUGAUAUCACAUCACAUAGCUGAGUAUUGACUUGUUUUAUUGUCUCUAAUGCUUUGAUUUCUUUUGUAUCUGUUUUCUAUUGCAAUAGUUUUUUAAUUGAAUAAAUUGACUUGGCAAAUAAUUUGAGUUGUAGUAUUCUUUGUCUCUUCUCUCCCUUCAUGUUCGGCCAUUAAAUCCCUUCAUGUUUUAGAAUUUCUUUUGUUCAAUGUGUUUUAUGGUGAGAUAAGCUUGUGGUUUCUUGUAUGAAAUUUGUUCACUUGUUUAACACUUGUUUGUUUGGCUUUUGAUGAUUUUUCAGGUUAAAACGGAAGUCUUUUGAGAGAGAAAAUGGCUAAAAAGAUUAAAUUUUUGCAGCAUAGGACUAGAAGGAACCUUGAUGAUUAUUAGUGUUUUUAAGCUUAAUAAGAUUAUAUUUUUAUUUUAAACUCUCUGUUUUUCUGUUUUGAAUUACGGGAAAGUAUUUGUUUGAGAUAUUUAUAAUCUGUUUAAUCAAGUUCUGUUUAUAUAUGUUUUGGUUUAUUAUUUUUAUUUCAAUUUUUGCUCAUAAUUUAUCACAAAAAUAUGUUAUUAUAAUUACAUUUUAACUAAAAAUUAUUACUAGCUAAGUAAAUAUCUUUAUGGAUGUAAAUUUAUAAAUUAUAUUUUGUUGAUGUAAAAUAAAUUUAUACAAAUUUGACCCAAAAAAUAAAAUUAUAAAAAUAUAUAAAAAUUAUACAAAAUUAUAUUUUUGUCGCGUCAGCGAAACGAACACAAACCCUGUGGCGGCGGCGGCGGCAGAAGUUGCGGCGACAAAACGAACACAAAACCUGCGGCAGCGGCGGCGGCGGAAGCUGCGGCGACAAAACAAACACAAAACCUGCGGCAGCGGUGGCGGCAGAAGCUGCGACGAUGAAACGAACAACAACCUGCGGUAGCGUUACCGCCGCUGCCGCCUGCGGCGGUCAAACGAACAGGCUAUUUCGUUUUAACUCUUAUUGCGUCUGUUUUAUAAUAAUAAGGUUAAAAGUAACUAUUACAAAAAAAAAAAAAAAAAAAAAAAAAAAAAAAAAAAGUUAAAGUUAAAAGUAACUUUCUAAUAGUAUGUAAAGAAUAUUGAUACGGGAAUGAGCAAAAAUCAUGUAUAAAUCAGGCUCUUAUAAGUAGUGGUUGGGUUAAAUGCACUACGACGUAUCCUAUAGGCUAUAACUAUCAGUCAAGGAAACUUGUGUGUGGUUGGAGUUAUAUGCACCAGUUCAACGUUAUCGAGAGCCGUACUCAAAAUUAAAAAGUUUGAAUGUUAUAAACUUAUAAACGAAAGAAAUAGGAGAAGUUCAAUAGUAACAUCAAACAGAAAUAUUAAUCAACAAAACUAAAUUAAAAAAAAAUAAGUCUAAAUUUCAUCUUAUUAAUAUUAUAUGUAAAAAAAAUCAGUACUAAAUUUUAUUUUAUUUUAUUUUUUCAAGUGAUUUAUAAAAUUUUGAACCUUAAUAUUUGGUUUGUGUUGCUUAUGCUCUGGGUUGGUCAUGGAUGGAAAUGCAACUACAACGCAUAUAAACUACAGAGCAAUAAUAUUAUGAUCAAUUUAAUUCAAAAUAUUUAAGAUAUACCACCAACAACUUGAUCGAUAUAUCAUAGAUUUAUAUUACUAUUUUAUAUUAGUGAGUUCGAUAUAUUUGAAAUGCAAAAUUCUUUUUAUCAAAGUACGAAAUUUAUAACUUAAAUAUCUUUUAGAAGAGACAUAUUUAUAUACUUAAAAUCUAUGACUUUUUGCAAACAAAAAUAAUAUCUGGUCAAAUAAACUUUUACUAUGGGCCUGACUGGUUUAAAUGCAGCGGUUGCGUUUGCGGUUGCGGGAGUUUGCGGAAGCGGGCAGUUGCGGAUUCAAGCGUUACCAAACGUUUUGAACGACUGGUUUAGCGUUUGAAAAUAGAUGCGUUUGCGGGAUUUUUAUGACUGGUAAACCAGCGGGUAGUAGCUAAAUUAAAAAAUGACCAAAAUAAUAAGAAAUACUACUAAAAAAAAACAAUAUAUUAUUAUGAUAAUAUUAGAAAAAUUGAACAUACUUAAUAAUUAAAACAUAAAUAAAGUACUAAAUAAUUAUUCAAAAAUAAAGAAAUUUCACAACAAGAUAGUAUUUUAUGCAUCUGGUUUAACACCAAAAAUUGCAUCAUGUAACGGGACAAACUGCAAAUAACGUUGAAUUCGCGGAUUUCUUUUACAAAAAUUAUAAAAUUUCUUCAAGGUAUCUAAACGAUUUUUAACACAGCUCCAACUCAAAUCAAUUCCAAACUGGUCGUUAAUAUUCUUAAGAAUAUUUUCUCUUUGAGCACUACUUAGAAAUCUGAUUUUGGAUUCUUCUUUGGGUUCUUCCGUUUGUUUCUCCAUAUAUAAUAACCCAUUGAAGUAAAGCAUAUGUGAUCUCGUCAAACCAUAUAAAUUUCUGAAAUAUUAAAAUAUAUUUCAAUAAACUAUUCUAAUCCAGUAAAUAACAUAUAAACAUAAAAAAUAUUGUAGAAGUACGGAAACCAAAAGAUUAGGUUGGGAAGCCAUGAAUAUCACCUUAAAACAAAUAUAAUAAAACAUAAUUACAACUAAAAUCAACAUGAUCAUUAGCAAAAUUUAACCAAAUCUACUAUCAUAGAAAAAGAAACACGUUUAAUUAGCAAAAAGAAAACGUUACAAAUAUAUUAGGGUUGAGAUGAACUGACUUUUAUACUAGUUUGUUAGGUAAGAAUAAAAGAUUUGUGAAUCUAAUUUUUUUAAACAUGUUUAAAAAAAAAAAAAAUCCAACCGCUACCGCCCGCAACCGCAAACGCUUGCGGGAAUGAGCUUUUGAAAUCCAGCGAUUUGUAGCGGUUCGAAACGGUAUGGAGCGAUUUCUAUGAUUGGUACCAACCGCUAACAACCGCAAUCGACCGCUAGUAACCGCUAGGCGGGUGCUAGCGGGAGAAACAAUCAAGCCCUAUCUUCAUAAGAGAUGAGAAAUAUCAACUUCAAAACAAAUAAACUACAAAAUCCAAACAGUUACAUUUACAUAUAUAUAUUUUCUAUUUUUAUUUUUAUGUUAGUAUUUGGAUGUGAUAGAAUAUUUUUUUCCGAACACACAGAUCUUAUCUUCACCGAUUUAUUAGAUGAAUACUAUUUACAUUCUUUUUCCUGAUUCACAUGUACUACUAGCAAACAAAACUUAAAAGAAUUUGGCAAUUUGCGUUAUACAAUACGAAAUUUCGUCACGCUGUAAUUUGAAAAGUCAACCCUAGCUAGGCCCCUUUAGCUCUCCUCCUUUUAUAUAAACAGAGAAGCAAACACUUUCUUUCUCAGCCUCUCUGUUUCUUCUUCUCUAAUCUCUCAACAUGUCUUGCUCGGUGACCGAACUCGCCGUCUUGUUAGGUCCCAAUGCCACGGAGGCUGCCAACUACAUCUGUGGCCAGCUAAGCGUCGUCGACAACAAGUUCAUCGACGCCGCUUUCGCCAUAGACACCACUUACCUCCUCUUCUCCGCUUACCUUGUCUUCUCUAUGCAGCUUGGCUUCGCUAUGCUCUGUGCCGGUUCCGUAAGAGCCAAGAAUACGAUGAACAUCAUGCUUACCAACGUUCUUGAUGCUGCGGCCGGAGGUCUCUUUUACUAUCUAUUUGGCUAUGCUUUUGCCUUUGGAUCUCCGUCCAAUGGUUUCAUUGGUAAACACUACUUUGGUCUCAAAGAUAUCCCCACGGCCACUGCUGAUUAUUCCAAUUUUCUCUACCAAUGGGCCUUUGCUAUAGCCGCGGCUGGAAUCACUAGUGGUUCGAUCGCUGAACGGACUCAGUUCGUGGCUUACCUAAUCUAUUCCUCUUUCUUAACCGGGUUUGUUUACCCGGUCGUGUCUCACUGGUUCUGGUCGGUUGAUGGAUGGGCCAGUCCGUUCCGGACCGAUGGAGAUUUGCUUUUCAGAACCGGAGCGAUCGAUUUCGCUGGCUCCGGUGUUGUUCAUAUGGUCGGAGGUAUCGCUGGACUCUGGGGAGCGUUCAUUGAAGGACCACGACUCGGCCGGUUCGAUAACGGUGGCCGUGCCAUCGCUCUUCGUGGCCACUCAGCGUCACUUGUUGUCCUUGGAACAUUCCUCCUUUGGUUUGGAUGGUACGGAUUCAACCCCGGUUCUUUCAACAAGAUCCUAGUCACAUACCAAACAGGAACGUAUCAAGGCCAGUGGAGCGCGGUCGGACGGACGGCCGUCACUACCACCUUAGCCGGCUGCACCGCGGCGCUCACGACUCUCUUCGGAAAACGUCUUCUCUCUGGCCAUUGGAACGUCACCGAUGUAUGUAACGGUCUCCUCGGAGGGUUUGCAGCAAUAACCGGCGGCUGCUCCGUCGUAGAGCCAUGGGCAGCGAUCAUCUGCGGGUUCGUAGCGGCUCUCGUCCUCCUUGGAUGCAACAAGCUCGCGGAGAAACUCAAAUACGACGACCCACUCGAGGCAGCACAGCUCCACGGCGGUUGCGGCGCGUGGGGGCUAAUUUUUACAGCGCUUUUCGCUGAGAAAAAGUACUUAAACCAGGUUUAUGGCGACAGACCCGGAAGGCCUUACGGUUUGUUCAUGGGUGGUGGAGGAAAACUCCUUGGAGCUCAGCUGAUUCAAAUAAUUGUGAUCACAGGUUGGGUUAGUGUGACCAUGGGUACACUUUUCUUUAUCCUCAAGAAAAUGAAAUUAUUGCGGAUAUCAUCGGAAGAUGAGAUGGCCGGUAUGGAUAUGACCCGGCACGGUGGUUUUGCUUAUAUGUACCAUGAUGAUGAUGAGUCUCACAAAGCCAUUCAGCUUAGAAGAGUUGAGCCAAGAUCUCCUUCUCCUUCUGGUGCUAAAACUAUUCCUACUCCGGUUUGAUUUGGAUUUUUAUUUUUACUUUGUGAUAUUUGAAUAUUGUUUUGGACGUCUCCUCCGGACAUUGUCGCUUAUCUCGGAAAUGUAGAAAAGAAGAAAUCUGACCACUCAAGAUCAUUUGUGUUCUCUUUAGAGUUUUCAUUACUGUGGAUGUCGGAUUUACACACUCAAGUAUUUUAUUAAAAAAGGAAAGAUUAUUCUUGAGGGACAAAAAUGAACGUAUAAAAACUUGUAAAUUGAUACGAAAAAUUACUAUUGUAUUUCUUUCUCGAGAGGAAGGGUCCCCCUUACAUGGCCAUUGGCCUCUAUAUUUAUACCUAGACAAGCGACAUUAAAAUGGAUAAUUAAGUACAAUUAUUCCCUCUUAAGUGUGUCCGUUUUGAUUCUUCGACUUUAAUGCUCAACGUUUGAAUUUGAGUUGACUCUGAUCUUCAUGGGCCUCGCCUUUUUGGCCCAAGUGUCCUUGAACCGACUUACCCGCAUCUUCUACACCGAACUCGUAUCACAGUGCAGUCACUUCGGAUUCUCGACGUGAUGACAACCACUUCGACCGUCCCCUCGGUUCACGGGCCCAAUGGGCUUCAUCCUUUCAUGGGCCACCCGCUUGACUACGUGGCAAUCUUUGGUUGGUCUCGUACUUCUGGUGCGGGAUCCGACACCAACAAUUAGCCCCCCAAGUUCUUCGAAGUGCUAUUCCAAUUCGGAGGACUUUAAAUGCUCAAGUGGCCAAAGAUUGCGCUCGAGAAUCUUUCUGAUUUCCCGCCGAAAAUCCCAUCACUCCUUUAAUUUCGGCACUAGCCAUUUUUAACCGAGUGACAUCUGUCAUCAUUAUGACCGUAUAUUGAUUAAUUACUAUUAAAACGGGAAAAACCUUCCCACUUCCCACACGACUUCCGAGGCGGUUUCAUCAUUAGCUUGAGGUAACUUCUUUUCACCAUUACUCUCUUCUUUUACUUUUGUACUUUAAUCAAAAACUCUCUCUCUGUUCCUUCACCAAAACCCUUCUUCGCCGGAUCUUGAAUUUUUCUUUCUUACCAAUGACUUCUGAUUCCGAUAGACCCGAGUCUCCGUCUUUUGACGAGAGGCGUUCUAGUAACGACGAGUGUACCCGCCCCGGUGACAUUGCCGGUCCGCACUAUAGGUCCACUUGUACUCUUCAAUCCCUCGAGCGAUUGAGAGAGCUUUGCCGGAUUCCGCCGGAAAUUAUGGCGGAAGCACAAAUAGCCUCCCCCACAGAAUCUCCGGAGAACCAUCGCGAUGGUUACUUCUGUGUGUAUGAGAUUUAUUUCAAAGGUUGCGGGCUGACCUUUCCUCUUCCCGAAGCCCUAAUUUUAUACCUAGCGGCCCUUGAAAUCGCUCUUCCUCAAUUAACCCCCAAUCUUCUUCGUACUAUUCUCGGCAUUAUAACAAUCGCGGCGGAGGCCGGUUACGUUAUCGGAGUUGCCGAACUAAAUGAGCUUCUAAGUGUGAGAAGCUCAUCGAAGAAAACGGGGUAUUUCUCAGCAUAUCCUAACGCCAACAGGAACAUCAUUUCGCAUCUUCCAAACAAGGAUGAAAAUUGGCAUCAUCCUUGGUUCUUGAUUAAGAAAACUCCCGCUUCGAUUGGAAAUCUUGCGGAUUUCCUCCCUUCGAAGUGGUCGGCGAAACCUGGUAGAGAUUAGGUCGCUCGUAUCUUUCCCGGUUGUUUCUUUAUCUUUAUUAACUAACACCGUUGUUUCAUUUCGCAGCUUUCAUCGCUUCCAAUCACCCAUCUGAAGAGUUCAUCGAAUUCUUCAAAAUAAUUCUUGAAGGGGAAACCCUUUGGAAUUCCUUCACUCUCGAACGAUUCAUAGAGGCUAACCACAGACUCAGGAUGAGUCCGCCUGGUCAUCUUCACCAAAUUCCUCCCCCUCCCUCAACUCAGGGAAUGUCAUCUCGGGCCCUUGCGGCCAAGCGUAAGUUGCUUUCCAAGCCGAUGGCUGAGGCUUGCAAGGAGAAGAAAAAGUUUCUUGCGACUUCUAUAGACAAGAGGGACUAUAGUAGGACCUUGCUGGUCGAUGAUGGCAGUACCGAGGGAGCCCGAUCUGUUGCUUCCUUCAGACUAACUCCCCGUCGCGAUCGUCGCGACUCACGUUCUCCUCGGAGGGUUCAAUCUCCUCAUCGUGAUUCACCUCGUCCUCCCCGAGAUGAUUUUAGUAACGAGCCAAUUAAGAACUUGGUUCGCCGGAAGAGAGACAAGUCCUCUCGCAGCGAUUCUUCUCCGCAGAGGGAAAAGUCGAGGGCUCGGACUGACCGCUCACCUCGAUCAUCUCCUCCUCCUGAACCAAUGGGUCCUCCACGCCCGGUUGAUAUGUCUUCCUCCUCCCAGCCUGAUAGUGGAAAGACUGCUCGGAGUGCGUCUCCGAAAAAGGGAGACUCUGAAUCUCGAGAUGCUUCCUCGAGGUUAAAACCUGCUCUUGUCCCUCAAGUCAAAUCACUUUCAGGUUUGAUGAUUUACAUACUUCAACUUUUUGUCUUUAUUAAAAUUCCAAUUUUUACAAUUCUUCCUUCCUUGCAGCUAUGGAGACAGAAGGCAGCGUCUUCCGAUGCUUCAAAACCCGUUCGGGUUCGAUCUUGCCAGAUUUCAACAAAUGGCGCCCUGCAAUCCGUGAACGCUAUUUGCUUCACGCUCACCACUCAUCUCGGGUUAGUUCCGUUUUUUUUUUUUUUUUUUGCAUUGCCAUUCUGCGAACUGACUCACCAUCCCUGGUUCAUGUAUAAUCCAGGCUCAGAGCGAAUUUAACGAUAUGAUCGAACAUUACGAAGGGUUGGUCAUCGGACGGGAGAAGGAGAUUGAUAUGUGGAAGAAGAAAUUCUCAGCUCUUGAGGCUGACCUCAACUCUUCCGAUGGCUCUAAGCACGAUCUGGAGGAUAAGGUCGAUAGGUUGACGUCGGAGCUUGCGCAGGUAAAGGAGGAGCUGCAGGGUCAGUACGACCAGAACUUCAAGCUCCAGGAAGAGUUUACUGGCGUUCAAGGUAGGCUUCAAGAGUCUGAAUCAAACGCUGAUUCCCUGAACACCCAACUCAUCGAGCUCAACGCGAAGUACAAGGCGCUAACCAAAUUGCGUGAUUCUGAGUUGGCAAGGUCGGCAUCGAAGGCCAGAAAGGAGAUUAAGGACGCGGGAUGGAAUUGAUCCAAGGGGCCAUUCGCUUUAUGCAAACCGAGAAAGCUAGGUCGGACUUGGAGUCAGACAUCAAGGAGCACGAAAGUAACCUGAUUCUGCUGGAUCAAAUCCAUGAAGCAGAUUUCUCCGAGGAGCAAGAAAGGACCGAGCUGUCGACUAACCUUUCUGAAAAACGGAGUCGCUUGGCAGCUCUUCCCACUUCGGCCUUCAACCCGCUUGACUUCGAGGCAUUCUUUACUGAAUCACCUCCAAUAAGUGAAUCGGGUUUAGACUGGGCAGGUAACGCUUGGCUCCUAAGGCUUACCUUUUCUUACAUUGUACCUUUGAUUGACUGGAAUUUUUAUUUCCAGGUUCGAGUGAGACGGAGGGCAUUGUCCCGCCCGUAGCUCCUGUGGUACCGGAGGUCACCCCGGAGGUUGGUUGUCCCGCGGAGGGUGAUCAGGGAGCUCCAUCUGAUCAAGCACCAGUCAAGGAGGUGAAUGAAACUCUGAUUGCUGAGCCGGAGUCCGAGGUGGAGAUCAUUCCGUAGUGGCUGUAUCCACUUUAAAUUGGGGAUUGUCCUUUUAAUUUUAAGACUUAAUUCCAAACUUAUUUUUGCCUAAGGAGGCUUUAUUUUCUGUUGAACAAGAUAUUCGCCUGAGGAGGCUUUUAAACCUUUUUAGGUUGUGACCCAAGGGGGUUUGGUUAAAAUUAUAUGCGGGUUUGCAAAGUCCGCUUUAACCUUUUGUGGCCUUGUGGCAAUGCUUUCGAGAUUUUUAGGCUGAUCAGACCUUUCUCUUUAGAAUGCGAGAACUGAGCUCGGCUUAAAGCGAGUUCCCCACUUCGGGUUUAGUUAACUCGAUAAAAUUGUUAGGCUUGGGCCUUAGAAAUUUUUGCAGUUGAUGCGACGGUUGCUUUUUCCCUUCUUAAAGGAAACGGCUCGUCUUUUAAUGCAAUAAUUGCCUUUUCUCGAUUUUCCAAAAAUGGUUUAACCCACUCGGAAACGCUACCAUUAAUGAAUUUAUGGUUCCAAGACAAACCCUAAAUCAUUAUAAAUAAAGGCUUACCUACCUCUAGGCUUUAUUAAGCAUGACUAUAGAAUCUCUCUUGAGAAAUAUUUUAAGAAUGGAAAACGAAGAAGUAGCCCCCAUCGCUCCCGGCAGCCCACUUUUCCUGUCCGGCGACGGAUUUGAACCGGCUGGCGUUCUCUUUCCUCACGCCGUCUUUCACUUCCCUUCAAAGGAGAAGAAAGAGGCUUGCGACUUCAUCGACAAGGUAAAUAUUCAAAGUUUUUUUUUUUUACUUAAAAACUUUUUUUUCGUUUUGCCUUAUUCACUCAUUUUUAUGCUAGGUCGUCGACAAGCACCGUUGCUUAUGUGAAGAGAGGCAGCGGCUGGGACUCAAAAAGCAGACGCUCGAGGCUCGCAUCGCCCGGGUGGAAAGGAAGAUACGGGCCCUGGAGAGCGAUCCCUUUCAAUGGGAGUGGCGGAACUUUGACUCCGUUGCUGAGAUCCCGAAGAUGCUUCGGAUGUAUCUUCGCGCUAGAGGAGUCCCGGGUCCCGUGAACGCCCCUGUCUGUGACAGUGAAGAGGAAGAGGACUUGGAGGAGGUGGCCAACAACUGCCGGAAACGCGUUCGAGAUCGUUCCGAAGUGGAUGCCACGAACAAGGCGUCCACUUCGGAAUCUAAGCCGGCGAUGAAGGAGUCUGUUCCUGAGCCUCUCCCAUAAAUGUUCUUUAACUUCCUCACUUUUCUCUUUUUUUUUUUUUUUAAAACUCGUAAUGGGCCUCGGCCCUUUUUAUUUAUGGAAAUAUUUGCAACUUUCCUUUCUUUCCAAAUAUUCUUGGAGAUGCGCCUUUCAAUGCAGGAUCCGUUCGAGGGCAUAAAUCUCUCCGCGAAUCAUUCCAUUCCUUGGAUAGAAUCCGCAGCUUGCUAGGGACAUGGGGUUCCUAUAAAUUAUAGGUUCAAUUCCCCUUUACUCCUCACCACUCUUUUUUCAUUUUAGCAGGCAUGGAGUUCAACCUACGCUGUUCAGAAUCUAUGCCCGACUUCUCCAGAAUCGGAAUGAUGAAUGAAGAUGUUCCAAGUGAGCCCAACAGGCAGCCUCCUCCACUUCGCGGCUUCUUGAGAUCUCAAAUCCGAGCCCCUUGCGCUCUGAUCAGGGAUCUCCCAAUCAGAGACCAAGGAACGGCGACGGCGUUCAUAGAGGCGCUCGAGCUUCAACACCGGAAGCUUACGUCGGAAAAGAGGAGACUUCGGAAGAGGAUUAACCGGAUGCAACGCAGGCUAACUUCAGUGUCAAGAAGUCUUCACAUCCUUGAAUCUCACCCCGGAGAGUGGACUGAGCUUGGAAUUUCUGACUUUGCUCGAAUUCCGGACUGCAUGAUGCCGAUCCUCGAUCUUGCUGGUCAAGGAGUUGAAGUGUUCUGCUCAUCAACAAGAUUUCCAUAAUCCGAAGUGUACGAUGAAGGACACUCCGUUUUUUUUUUUUUAUAACGCUCUAUUUCCAAUCUUUUGUACGUUCGCUUUAGCCGAACCUUCUAUUUGCUUCACUUGUUCGCAUAGCCGAACCUUCUUCCUUUAAUAAAGAAAUAAAACAAAAAUUUUAUUAAUAGCUGAACUCGUUUUCGAGCUGCCUACGUACCCAUUUCGGGAUCAAGCCAAAUCGUAGUUCAUGUACAUAAACAAUGCAUGUGGCUUUUAAACAUAAAACUUCUUUAAGUUGAUCACAUUCCAAGGUCGCUUGACUGGAUUGUCUUCUAGGUCUUUUAACCUAUAAACGCCGUUUCGAACCACCUCGGUAAUAAUGUAAGGUCCCUCCCAAUUAAUACCAAGUUUUCCAGCACCUUCUUCUUUUUUAUUGUCAAAGACGCGUCUUAAUACGUAAUCUCCCACGAAGAACGGCCUACUUUUAACUUUAGAAUUGUAAUACCGGGCUGCUGCCUGUUGGUAAUUCUGGAUCCGAAUUAGAGCUUGAUCCCGCCUUUCAUUUAUGGUAUCUAGUGAAUCGUUAAGCAUUGCUGAAUUUUCUUCCUCAUUUAACGGUGCUUCUGUUCGACGAAGUCCGGGCACAUUGAGUUCAGCUGGUACCACCGCUUCCAUGCCAUAAACCAAAGAGAAUGGAGUUUCUCCUGUAGGUCGCCUAGGGGUUGUACGAUAAGCCCACAGGACGGGUUGGAGUUCUUCAUACCAUCCUCCCUUCAGAUGACUUAAGCGUUUCUUGAGAUUGCUUAAUAUCGUCUUGUUCGCGGCUUCGGCUUGACCGUUUCCUUGCGGAUAUCUUGGAGUAGAGUAACUAACUUUAAUUCCCCAGUCCGCACAAAAGGCAUCAAACUCGUGUGAAAUGAAUUGCGGUCCAUUAUCAGUGACUAUUUCGUACGGAACUCCAUGUCGACAUAUAAUGUUUUUCCAAAUAAAGGUCUUCACCGCCGAAUCCUUGAUACCAACAUACGCCUCAGCUUCAAUCCAUUUCGAGAAGUAGUCCGUAAGGACUAAAAGGUACUGUACACCUCGAGUUGAUUUGUGCAAUGGUCCAAUGAUGUCCAUUGACCACCUCAUAAACGGGUAUGGGGCGGAAAUGGAGGAGAAUAACUCCGACGGUUGAUGGAUUAAUGGCGCAUGGAGUUGGCAGCGCUUGCAUCUUUGGGCGAACUUUACACAAUCUGUGAUCAUAGUGGGCCAAAAGUACCCCAUUCUUUUAACUUUAAAAGCCAUAGCUCUUCCUGAUGAAUGACUCCCACAUAACCCUUCAUGCACUUCGCUCAUGACAAUUUCGACUUCGGGCCCAAAAAUGCAUAAUAGGUAAGGGUCACUAACCCCUCGCCUAUAUAACGCAUCUUUUGAUAGGCAAAAUUUCGCGCUAACGACUUUCAUUUUCCUGGCCUUCCAUUUAUUCUUUGGGAGCUCGCCUGUCGUGAUGUAGUGCUUUAUUGGCUCCCUCCAAUCAGCCCCCCAGUCUUUAGCCGGAAUUUGGUCAACUUUGUGAAACAUCCGUGGCUCUGGUUCGGGAUGUUCGUUUGGUUCAAGAAUAGUCUCCUCGAGUAAUGGCUCUGUUUCUAACAUCGUUUCUGGAAUCAUUUCUUCAGCUAAGACAACGGGUUCCUUGUCAGAUGUACUUGAUCCCUUUGACUUUCUUCGUUUGUUGGGUGGCGGUUCGAUCUCUGGUUCGCCAUGGUCGCGUGCUGCUGCCCGAGACCUUGUAACGACGAGGGUUUCCUUGCUGUCUUGAAUGCUUCGCUCCGAGAUGCAUUCUACUGGAAUAACUCUCUUUAACUCAGGAUCUGAUGUUGACGCCAAUGCGGCAAGUGCAUCUGCAGUUGUAUUCUCUCCCCGAGGUAUACGGAUUAAUUCAAAUUUCGAGAAAUUUUUAGAUAGAUCCUUCACCACUUCGAGGUAUGCUUCCAUUCUUGAAUCUUUAGCCUCAUAGUCUCCAUUAAAUUGGUUAACUACUAAUUACGAAUCGCAAUAAGCCAAUAUUUCCUUAGCUCCAACUCCUUGUGCCAGUCGAAGUCCGGCGAUAAGGGCUUCGUAUUCUGCCUCGUUGUUAGAGGCGUUGAAUAACAAUCGGAAUGACUGUUCUAGAAUUUCUGAUGUUGGAGAUUCCAACUUGAUUCCUACUCCGGAUCCUUGUUUUGUUGAAGACCCGUCUACGUGUAAUUUCCAAGUUUGGUUCUCCGGUUGCUCUAUUGUUCCAGGUAUUGGUAGUUCGGUCAGGAAGUCUGCUAAGACCUGAGCCUUCAUACUGAUCCGGCUUUUGAACUCUAUGUCGUACUCGCUUAAUUCCACCGCCCAUUUCGCCAAACGUCUGGACUGACUUGGACUAUGAAGUAUUGUUCGGAGUGGCUGGUUAGUUAAUACUUCAACCGGAUGGGAUUGAAAAUAUGGACGCAGCUUCCGAGCCGAAGUUACCACCGCGAGUGCGAGUUUUUCCAUCAUUGUGUAUCUGGUUUCCGGAUCCGUCAUUGAUUUGCUCACGUAGUAAAUUGGUUUCUGCUCCCCACGGUCUUCCCGAACCAAGACUCCACUAACCGCGUGGUUUGAAACUGAUACGUACAAGUAAAGUUUUUCAUCUACUUCCGGUUUGGACAGUACAGGUGGAGUGGUUAAGUAUGCCUUAAGCUGCCCAAAAGCUUCUUCACCCUUCUCAUCCCAAAGGAAUCCUUUGUUUCCCUUUAGAAUUUGGUAGAAAGGCAACGACUUAUCUGUUGACCUCGAGAUAAAACGGUUCAAAGCCGCAAUCCGCCCAGUCAAUCGUUGUACUUCUUUGAAGUUUCUUGGAGAUGGCAUGUUCAGAAAGGCGUCAAUUUGAUUUGGAUUGGCUUCAAUCCCUCUUUCCGUCACGAUAUAGCCAAGAAAUUCUCCGGAUGGGACUCCAAAUGUGCACUUCGCCGGGUUCAGCUUCAUUUGAUAUUUAUUGAGAAUAUCAAAACAUUCCUCCAAAUGUUUAACAUGAUCUUCUUUCUUCAAUGAUUUAACCAACAUAUCAUCUAUGUAGACUUCCAUAGUCUUCCCGAGGUGAUUGUGAAACAUUUUGUUCACCAAUCGUUGGUAAGUUGCUCCUGCAUUUUUCAAACCAAAAGGCAUUACCUUGUAACAGUAGAUACCUCUAUCUGUGAUAAAUGACGUCUUCUCUUGAUCUUCGGGGUUCAUCAUUAUCUGAUUAUAACCCGAGAAGGCGUCCAUGAACGUUAACAGCUCAUUUCCGGCGGUGGACUCUACAAGUCGAUCUAUAUGCGGGAGCGGGAAACUAUCUUUAGGACAUGCUUUAUUCAGGUCCGUAAAAUCGAUGCAAACCCUAUCUUUCCCGUUCUUUUUCUUGACAACGACAGUGUUUGCUACCCACUCCGGAUAUUGCACUUCUCUUAUGGACCCUAUCUUCAAGAGUUUAUCCACUUCGUCGUUUACUAUUUUUGCCCGUUCCACUCCAAGCUUUCUUCUUUUUUGUUUCACCGGUUUGAAGCUUGGAUCUACGUUUAGUUCAUGACAAAUUAUACUCGGAUUUAUACCCGGCAUGUCCGCUGCUGACCAUGCAAACGAUGCUUUGUUUUUCCUUAAGAGUUCGAUCAAAGCUUCUUUUAUUCGGCCAGUCAAAGUUGCUCCAAUUCUAAUUUUCCGGUCCGGCUUGUCUUCUUCCAGUACCACUUCGACUACUACAUCCUCUUUCUUCUGCCCGCUAGGAAAUUUUGUUCUUAGUCCCUCUUUUGCGGGCUUUGUUAAUUGCUAUUGAAUCUUCAAGCGGUGGCUAGCUAAGUAACACGUCCGUGAAGCUUCUUGAUCUCCCCGAAUUGUUUCCACCCCAUUUGAUGUUGGAAAUUUGAUACAUUGAUGGUAUGUAGAGGGGACUGCUUUCAUCCGAUAAAUCCAGGGAGUCCCGAGGAUGAUGUUGUAAGCUGCAGGCUUAUCGAAGACAACGAAGUCCACGAUCUUUGAUACCUUCUUGGCAAGGACCGGUAGCUUGAUUGUUCCGAGAGACAUGGCUGACUCGCUUGUGAAUGCUACUAAUGGAGACGGAGGCCCCACUAUGUCUGCUCGGCUGAUUCCCAUUCUUUCUAGAGUACUUAAAAAGAUCAAGUCGACCGAACUGCCUGUAUCUACAAGGAUCCUCGAUACUUCGAAGUUAGCAACAUCAAGAGUAAUGACUAGAGCAUCAUCAUGCGGUCUUUCGAGAUGCCGCGUUUCUUCUUCGUUAAAUGAUAUUGAGGCACCUUGAAAAUCAACCUCUUCGCUCAAGCUUGCUUUGAGCAAGACAUUUCGUCUAUGCUUUUUGAUGGAACUUACUGAAUCUCCGCAAAAUCUGGAACCUCCUAGAAUCACAUUGAUCUUUCCCUUUGAACUCCUUGGUUCUUCCUCGUUGGAUAACCUUGGUCUUUUGGAAUCUUGAUCUUUGGAGUUUUCCUUUGCUUCGUGGUAUUCCUUCACAAAAUCUUUUAUAUCGAAUUUAGAAAGAUCGCCACUAGCCCAAAGCUCUGCGAGGUGCUUUUUAAGUACGCUGCAAUCUUUGGUUAAAUGUCCGGUUACUUUAUGAAUGUCGCAAUAUAGACUUUCAUCACGGACCCAAGUGUUUGAUCUUCCUUUCCCUUGGAAUUGCUUCCCGACGGAAUUGUUGAAGGGUUGCGACCCAAACUUCCUUGGUCCUUUGCUCUCUCUAGGCUCGAACUUCUUGGUAGGGACGGUGACUGCCGGCUUUUCUUGUUUAUUCCGUUUGGCAAAACUUUCUUUUUCGUCCUCUACCUCCAUCCAGUUGUUCGCGCGGAAGAGUGCAUCCUGAAUUGUGUCCGGUUUGUGAAGUAUUAAGUCUUCUUUAAACCUUGAAUCAUGUCGCAGUCCUUUUCGUAGGGCAGAUAAAGCUGAUUGUUGUGAGAUUCUUGGGAGCUUUGACAGCACUCCUUUGAAUUUGGUGAUGAAAACUCGAAGUGACUCAUUAGAUCCUUGCGUUAAGUUCCAAAGAUCGGCAUCUGAAACGCUUUUAUCCAUAAGGAUGGAGUAUUGCUUUAAGAAUACGGCUGAUAGUUCGUCGAAAUUACUGAUCGAACCCGGCUCUAAUUGGGUGAACCACAUUAGAGCUUGGCCACACAGAUUCUCCGAAAAAAGCUUGCAGUAACCUGCAUCCUCAUCAGCUUCAUCCAAUUCGACUCUUCCAGCAGCGAUCAGAAAAGCUGCGAGAUAGCUUUUUGGAUCCUCCAAUCCGCUGUAAGGGUCCAACUUGAGCUUCCGGGAAUCUUUGAUCCUCAAGCUUGCAAUUCGCGGGAUAAAAGGGGUUCGCCUAGCUUCUUCAAUGACUCGAUUGAUGUCUGGCUCCGAACUUGUAGCCUGAUGAAAUUUUGAUUUCAUUUCUUUUAAUUCCUGGCUAACCUUCCCCAUGGUCUCGAACUGGUCGAGGUUCUCCUGCUCAUACUGAGCUGCAAGUUGUUCUUCAUCCCCGAGUUGCGUCUCUUCUUCCGACGUCUGAGCUACAUUAUUAGUAGCUCCGGGAGUUGUUUGUCCGCUGAUUUCAUUUCGUGCAGCGGAACUUGGCGAGUUGAAUAUCCCUCUUCGGAUUCCCACCGGGUUUCCUGCACUUAAAGAGCGAACACGAGUUUGUAUAGAAUUGACGUUUUGACUAAGAGAUACCUGGGAUGUUUGCAACGUAUCGACGGCCUUCUCCACAUCCGAGAAUUUUUGUGAUAUGUCCGACAUGGUUUGCUGCAUAGCUUUGAGGGUUUCGGCCAACGAUGUCUCAACGGCGUCUCCUCCGGACAUUGUCGCUUAUCUCGGAAAUGUAGAAAAGAAGAAAUCUGACCACUCAAGAAUCCUGAUCUUCCCCACAGACGGCGCCAAAAUGUGGAUGUCGGAUUUACACACUCAAGUAUUUUAUUAAAAAAGGAAAGAUUAUUCUUGAGGGACAAAAAUGAACGUAUAAAAACUUGUAAAUUGAUACGAAAAAUUACUAUUGUAUUUCUUUCUCGAGAGGAAGGGUCCCCCUUACAUGGCCAUUGGCCUCUAUAUUUAUACCUAGACAAGCGACAUUAAAAUGGAUAAUUAAGUACAAUUAUUCCCUCUUAAGUGUGUCCGUUUUGAUUCUUCGACUUUAAUGCUCAACGUUUGAAUUUGAGUUGACUCUGAUCUUCAUGGGCCUCGCCUUUUUGGCCCAAGUGUCCUUGAACCGACUUACCCGCAUCUUCUACACCGAACUCGUAUCACAGUGCAGUCACUUCGGAUUCUCGACGUGAUGACAACCACUUCGACCGUCCCCUCGGUUCACGGGCCCAAUGGGCUUCAUCCUUUCAUGGGCCACCCGCUUGACUACGUGGCAAUCUUUGGUUGGUCUCGUACUUCUGGUGCGGGAUCCGACACCAACAAUUACCUUUUAAGUAUCGUCCUCAUAAUUUGCAAUUAAUAAUAAAUCUAGACGACAAAAAAAAAAGAUUGCGCUCGAGAAUCUUUCUGAUUUCCCGCCGAAAAUCCCAUCACUCCUUUAAUUUCGGCACUAGCCAUUUUUAAUAACUCGGCUAACGGCGCAGAACAAAUCCCAAUAUUAAGAGCAAAGCCACCACACCAUUCUCCGGACUCAUCUCUUAAAACACCAGCGGCCGUUGCUAAACCCGGAUUGCCUCUAGAAGCCCCAUCUGUGUUCAGCUUUAACCACCCCUCCCCUGGCUUUUUCCAAGCUAUUUGCCUCUCCACUCGCGUCCCUGAAGUUCCUUGCAUUGACUCAAUACUUCAAUAGACAUAAAUAUAUGUCUCGCUUUCUAGAAACAUUAAUAACUAGCUUGAACCAUUUUCUCGAAGUAUAUAAUGUCUGAUAUUUUGUGAGUCUCAACUACUCUCUUUCAUAUCUAACAGAACAUGAUUAUUUAUAGAAUCAUAAUUAUAUCGUAUUACGUCACUUACUAGACUUUAGAUUCCAGCUAGUUGCAGUUGUUUUACAUACUUUGAACAACCAAGCACGAAACUCAAAUUUCA